RNAcentral lists this ribosomal RNA (253 nucleotides) under uncultured bacterium. Its description in RNAcentral is "partial 16S ribosomal RNA". It matches the Rfam family "Bacterial small subunit ribosomal RNA", at positions 524 to 776 of the family's 1533-position model. The record is from RNAcentral.
UACGGGGGGGGCAAGCGUUGUUCGGAAUUACUGGGCGUAAAGGGCUCGUAGGCGGCCAACUAAGUCAGACGUGAAAUCCCUCGGCUUAACCGGGGAACUGCGUCUGAUACUGGAUGGCUUGAGUGUGGGAGAGGGAUGCGGAAUUCCAGGUGUAGCGGUGAAAUGCGUAGAUAUCAGGAGGAACACCGGUGGUGUAAACGGCUUUCUGGACCAUAACUGACGCUGAGGCACGAAAGCGUGGGUAGCAAACAGG